This 1095-nucleotide ribosomal RNA is filed under the name uncultured fungus. RNAcentral describes it as "eukaryotic LSU rRNA". The stretch from base 473 to 1095 matches the Rfam family "Eukaryotic large subunit ribosomal RNA", at positions 1 to 616 of the family's 3401-position model. Lineage: Eukaryota; Fungi. The record is from RNAcentral.
AGGGAUCAUUAAUGAAUGGCUUUUGCCUUCAACUCUGUAAACCCGCUGGAAGGAAGAUGUGCUUUGGUGCUCCGGCGCCUCGUUUAUGCGGUAAAGUAUUUGUCUGAAUCUAAAAGCAAGAAUUAAAACUUUCAACAAAGGAUCUCUUGGCUCUCGCAUCGAUGAAGAACGCAGCGAAGCGCGAAAUGUAGUGUGAAUUGCAGAAUUCAGUGAAUCAUCGAAUCUUUGAACGCACCUUGCGCUCCUUGGUAUUCCGAGGAGCAUGCCUGUUUGAGUGUCAUUAAUAUAUAUAUCAACCUUCUCUUGUUGGAGUGGUUUGGAUGUGGGGGUUUGCUGGCCUCUUAAAAGGUUCAGCUCCCUUGAAAUGCAUUAGCAGAACGGACCUGUUCAUUGGUGUGAUAACUAUCUACGCUAUUGAAUGUGAGGGGAUGUUCAGCUUUCUAACUGUCCUUGGACAAUUUAUCAUUUUAUGUGACCUCAAAUCANGUAGGACUACCCGCUGAACUUAAGCAUAUCAAUAAGCGGAGGAAAAGAAACUAACAAGGAUUCCCCUAGUAACUGCNAGUGAAGCGGGAAAAGCUCAAAUUUAAAAUCUGGCGGUCUUUUGGCUGUCCGAGUUGUAAUCUAGAGAAGUGUUAUCCGCGCUGGACCGUGUACAAGUCUCCUGGAAUGGAGCAUCAUAGAGGGUGAGAAUCCCGUCUUUGACAUGGACUGCCAGGGCUUUGUGAUGCGCUCUCAAAGAGUCGAGUUGUUUGGGAAUGCAGCUCAAAAUGGGUGGUAAAUUCCAUCUAAAGCUAAAUAUUGGCGAGAGACCGAUAGCGAACAAGUACCGUGAGGGAAAGAUGAAAAGAACUUUGGAAAGAGAGUUAAACAGUACGUGAAAUUGCUGAAAGGGAAACGCUUGAAGUCAGUCGCGUUGUCCAGAGAUCAACCCUGCUUUUGCUUGGUGCACUUUCUGGUUCAACGGGUCAGCAUCAAUUUUGACUAUUGGAAAAAGGUUGAGGGAAUGUGGCAUCUUUGGAUGUGUUAUAGCCCUUGGUUGUAUACAAUGGUUGGGAUUGAGGAACUCAGCACGCCGCAAGGCCCGGGUUUUAA